This is a non-coding RNA of Bombyx mori (domestic silkworm), 80 nucleotides long. NCBI's taxonomy places the organism in Eukaryota, Metazoa, Arthropoda, Insecta, Lepidoptera, Bombycidae. The record is from RefSeq and is marked provisional.
CACAGAGUUUCUCGACGGAUCUUCGCGGGUUUGGGUCGCUAUUCGAUCUGGUGGUAGAUUCAGCGAAACAAUGCUCUUUU